RNAcentral lists this transfer RNA (71 nucleotides) under Cryptotermes bracketti. Its description in RNAcentral is "tRNA-Cys". Lineage: Eukaryota; Metazoa; Arthropoda; Insecta; Blattodea; Kalotermitidae. The record is from RNAcentral.
AGCCUUAUAUUCACUCUUGUGAUGUUAGAAUGCAAUUCUGAAGGGAUGGGAGUAGGUGCCCGUUAAGGCCU